This 409-nucleotide ribosomal RNA is filed under the name uncultured bacterium. RNAcentral's name for it is "bacterial SSU rRNA". It matches the Rfam family "Bacterial small subunit ribosomal RNA", at positions 505 to 916 of the family's 1533-position model. The record is from RNAcentral.
GUGUCAGCCGCCGCGGUAAUACGUAGGUGGCAAGCGUUAUCCGGAAUUACUGGGUGUAAAGGGUGUGUAGGCGGGGAUGCAAGUCAGAUGUGAAAAUUACAGGCUUAACCUGUAACCUGCAUUUGAAACUGCGUUUCUUGAGUGUCGGAGAGGUAAAUGGAAUUCCUGGUGUAGCGGUGAAAUGCGUAGAUAUCAGGAGGAACACCGGUGGCGAAGGCGAUUUACUGGACGACAACUGACGCUGAAACACGAAAGCGUGGGGAGCAAACAGGAUUAGAUACCCUGGUAGUCCACGCUGUAAACGAUGAACACUAGGUGUAGGCAAGAAAUUGUCUGUGCCGCAGUUAACACAAUAAGUGUUCCACCUGGGGAGUACGGCCGCAAGGUUGAAACUUAAAUAAAUUGACGG